CGAAAGGGGGUGUUCCAAAAGUUGUUUGGGCCAUAAAGUUUUUGCAAGCCCAAAAGAACCAAUAAGCAAAACAUUUACACCUCUUAAUCAAUUAAACUUAACCGUUAAUCGAUUGAGACUAUUUAUUUUUCAAAUGUAGUAUCGUUUAAUCAAUUAAGUAUAAAAUAUAAUCGAUUAGAAACAAAAUCAAUAAUUAAUCACUGAGGUGAAACAUAAAUUAAUCAGCUUUGAU
RNAcentral lists this long non-coding RNA (232 nucleotides) under Lathyrus oleraceus (garden pea). Its description in RNAcentral is "Pisum sativum (pea) long non-coding RNA (PSAT_LNC000002)". Lineage: Eukaryota; Viridiplantae; Streptophyta; Magnoliopsida; Fabales; Fabaceae. The record is from RNAcentral.